Molecule: transfer RNA, 90 nt
Filed under: Edwardsiella ictaluri 93-146
Lineage: Bacteria; Pseudomonadati; Pseudomonadota; Gammaproteobacteria; Enterobacterales; Hafniaceae
Description: tRNA-Ser
Rfam family: tRNA
About the family: Transfer RNA (tRNA) molecules are approximately 80 nucleotides in length.
Source: RNAcentral
CGGAGGAGUGGCUGAGUGGUUUAAGGCAGCGGUCUUGAAAACCGUCGAGUGUAACAGCUCCUAGAGUUCGAAUCUCUACUCCUCCGCCAA